GAUGAACGCUGGCGGCGUGCUUAACACAUGCCAGUCGAACGGUGAAGGCGGAGCUUGCUCUGCUGGAUCAGUGGCGAACGGGUGAGUAACACGUGAGCAAUCUGCCCCUGACUCUGGGAUAAGCGCUGGAAACGGCGUCUAAUACUGGAUACGAGCUGCGAAGGCAUCUUCAGCAGCUGGAAAGAAUUUCGGUCAGGGAUGAGCUCGCGGCCUAUCAGCUUGUUGGUGAGGUAAUGGCUCACCAAGGCGUGGACGGGUAGCCGGCCUGAGAGGGUGACCGGCCACACUGGGACUGAGACAAGGCCCAGACUCGUACGGGAGGCAGCAGUGGGGAAUAUUGCACAAUGGGCGAAAGCCUGAUGCAGCAACGCCGCGUGAGGGACGACGGCCUUCGGGUUGUAAACCUCUUUUAGCAGGGAAGAAGCGAAAGUGACGGUACCUGCAGAAAAAGCGCCGGCUAACUACGUG
RNAcentral lists this ribosomal RNA (468 nucleotides) under uncultured bacterium. RNAcentral's name for it is "partial 16S ribosomal RNA". It matches the Rfam family "Bacterial small subunit ribosomal RNA", at positions 28 to 507 of the family's 1533-position model. The record is from RNAcentral.